GUGGGGAAUAUUGGACAAUGUGGGGAACCCUGAUCCAGCCAUGCCACGUGUGUGAAGAAGGCCUUUUGGUUGUAAAGCACUUUAAGCGAGGAGGAGGCUACCGAGAUUAAUACUCUUGGAUAGUGGACGUUACUCGCAGAAUAAGCACCGGCUAACUCUGUGCCAGCAGCCGCGGUAAUACAGAGGGUGCAAGCGUUAAUCGGAUUUACUGGGCGUAAAGCGCGCGUAGGUGGCCAAUUAAGUCAAAUGUGAAAUCCCCGAGCUUAACUUGGGAAUUGCAUUGGAUACUGGUUGGCUAGAGUAUGGGAGAGGAUGGUAGAAUUCCAGGUGUAGCGGUGAAAUGCGUAGAGAUCUGGAGGAAUACCGAUGGCGAAGGCAGCCAUCUGGCCUAAUACUGACACUGAGGUGCGAAAGCAUGGGGAGCAAACAGGAUUAGAAACCCCUGUAGUCC
This 451-nucleotide ribosomal RNA is filed under the name uncultured bacterium. RNAcentral describes it as "partial 16S ribosomal RNA". It matches the Rfam family "Bacterial small subunit ribosomal RNA", at positions 354 to 796 of the family's 1533-position model. The record is from RNAcentral.